Molecule: long non-coding RNA, 231 nt
Filed under: Vigna radiata
Lineage: Eukaryota; Viridiplantae; Streptophyta; Magnoliopsida; Fabales; Fabaceae
Description: long non-coding RNA (VRAD_LNC003107)
Source: RNAcentral
UAUGCCACCUUCUUUGCCAUAGAAUGGAGUUUAUCAUUGGUAGAAGACCUCGAUGAUGUAUGCAAAACUGCUUGCUGUGAAGAUUCGUUGAGGGAGGUUUUUGUGGUGUCUUCAUUUUCUCCUUCCUCACGGUACAUAGUCAUCUUAGUGUCAAAUUGUGAUGAGUCAGUCGACAAAUCAGUAUUCAUAUUAUCUACAUAACAGAGAUCUUCUUUGGCAGCAACAACUUCC